UACGGAGGGGGCUAGCGUUGUUCGGAAUUACUGGGCGUAAAGCGUACGUAGGCGGCUUUGUAAGUUAGAGGUGAAAGCCUGGAGCUCAACUCCAGAAUUGCCUUUAAGACUGCAUCGCUUGAAUCAUGGAGAGGCGGGUGGAAUUCCGAGUGUAGAGGUGAAAUUCGUAGAUAUUCGGAAGAACACCAGUGGCGAAGGCGGCCCGCUGGACAUGUAUUGACGCUGAGGUGCGAAAGCGUGGGGAGCAAACAGG
This 253-nucleotide ribosomal RNA is filed under the name uncultured bacterium. Its description in RNAcentral is "partial 16S ribosomal RNA". It matches the Rfam family "Bacterial small subunit ribosomal RNA", at positions 524 to 776 of the family's 1533-position model. The record is from RNAcentral.